Molecule: transfer RNA, 72 nt
Filed under: Pangasianodon gigas (Mekong giant catfish)
Lineage: Eukaryota; Metazoa; Chordata; Actinopteri; Siluriformes; Pangasiidae
Description: tRNA-Glu
Source: RNAcentral
UCCCUGGAGGAAUAUUGGUUAUGCCUUGGUGCUCUCACCACCAUGGCCUGGGUUCAAUUCCCAGGCAGGGAA